UACAGAGGUCUCAAGCGUUGUUCGGAUUCAUUGGGCGUAAAGGGUGCGCAGGUGGCGAGGCAAGUCGGAUGUGAAAUCCCGGGGCUCAACCCCGAAACUGCAUUCGAUACUGCCGUGCUUGAGGACUGGAGAGGAGACUGGAAUUUACGGUGUAGCGGUGAAAUGCGUAGAUAUCGUAAGGAAGACCAGUGGCGAAGGCGGGUCUCUGGACAGUGCCUGACGCUGAGGCACGAAGGCCAGGGGAGCAAACGGG
RNAcentral lists this ribosomal RNA (253 nucleotides) under uncultured bacterium. Its description in RNAcentral is "partial 16S ribosomal RNA". It matches the Rfam family "Bacterial small subunit ribosomal RNA", at positions 524 to 776 of the family's 1533-position model. The record is from RNAcentral.